GUGCCAGCCGCCGCGGUAAUACGUAGGGUACAAGCGUUGUCCGGAAUUAUUGGGCGUAAAGAGCUCGUAGGUGGUUUGUCGCGUCUGCUGUGGAAUCGUGCCGCUUAACGGUGCGCGUGCAGUGGGUACGGGCAGACUGGAGUGCAGUAGGGGAGUCUGGAAUUCCUGGUGUAGCGGUGAAAUGCGCAGAUAUCAGGAGGAACACCGGUGGCGAAGGCGGGACUCUGGGCUGUUACUGACGCUGAGGAGCGAAAGCAUGGGGAGCGAACA
Molecule: ribosomal RNA, 270 nt
Filed under: uncultured Actinomycetales bacterium
Lineage: Bacteria; Bacillati; Actinomycetota; Actinomycetes; Actinomycetales
Description: partial 16S ribosomal RNA
Rfam family: Bacterial small subunit ribosomal RNA
Source: RNAcentral